Molecule: non-coding RNA, 101 nt
Organism: Acanthosepion pharaonis
Lineage: Eukaryota; Metazoa; Mollusca; Cephalopoda; Sepiida; Sepiidae
Source: the annotation of a GenBank genome assembly
UUCGUUGAAACACCAGCUCCCCUACGAUUAGUGAAGUUAAGCAACGUCGAGCCUGGUCACUACAAAGAUAGAUGACCGUUUGAGAAUACUAGGUGCUGUAA